AACCGGUAAGGUUUUGGAACUCCCGUGGGCUCGAGGAACGAACGGCUGGCGGCGUGCUUAACACAUGCAAGUCGAACGAUGAAGCUGGAGCUUGCUCCGGUGGAUUAGUGGCGAACGGGUGAGUAACACGUGAGCAAUCUGCCCUUGACUCUGGGAUAACUGCGGGAAACUGUAGCUAAUACCGGAUACGACACCUUGGGGCAUCCCAGGGUGUGGAAAGAAUUUCGGUCAAGGAUGAGCUCGCGGCCUAUCAGCUAGUUGGUGAGGUAAUGGCUCACCAAGGCGACGACGGGUAGCCGGCCUGAGAGGGUGACCGGCCACACUGGAACUGAGACACGGUCCAGACUCCUACGGGAGGCAGCAGUGGGGAAUAUUGCACAAUGGGCGAAAGCCUGAUGCAGCAACGCCGCGUGAGGGAUGAAGGCCUUCGGGUUGUAAACCUUCUUUUAGCAGGGAAGAAGCGAAAGUGACGGUACCUGCAGAAAAAGCACCGGCUAACUACGUG
Molecule: ribosomal RNA, 505 nt
Filed under: uncultured bacterium
Lineage: Bacteria
Description: bacterial SSU rRNA
Rfam family: Bacterial small subunit ribosomal RNA
Source: RNAcentral